Molecule: ribosomal RNA, 729 nt
Filed under: Escherichia sp.
Lineage: Bacteria; Pseudomonadati; Pseudomonadota; Gammaproteobacteria; Enterobacterales; Enterobacteriaceae
Description: bacterial SSU rRNA
Rfam family: Bacterial small subunit ribosomal RNA
Source: RNAcentral
AUGGCUCAGAUUGAACGCUGGCGGCAGGCCUAACACAUGCAAGUCGAACGGUAACAGGAAGAAGCUUGCUUCUUUGCUGACGAGUGGCGGACGGGUGAGUAAUGUCUGGGAAACUGCCUGAUGGAGGGGGAUAACUACUGGAAACGGUAGCUAAUACCGCAUAACGUCGCAAGACCAAAGAGGGGGACCUUCGGGCCUCUUGCCAUCGGAUGUGCCCAGAUGGGAUUAGCUUGUGGUGGGGUAACGGCUCACCAGGCGACGAUCCCUAGCUGGUCUGAGAGGAUGACCAGCCACACUGGAACUGAGACACGGUCCAGACUCCUACGGGAGGCAGCAGUGGGGAAUAUUGCACAAUGGGCGCAAGCCUGAUGCAGCCAUGCCGCGUGUAUGAAGAAGGCCUUCGGGUUGUAAAGUACUUUCAGCGGGGAGGAAGGGAGUAAAGUUAAUACCUUUGCUCAUUGACGUUACCCGCAGAAGAAGCACCGGCUAACUCCGUGCCAGCAGCCGCGGUAAUACGGAGGGUGCAAGCGUUAAUCGGAAUUACUGGGCGUAAAGCGCACGCAGGCGGUUUGUUAAGUCAGAUGUGAAAUCCCCGGGCUCAACCUGGGAACUGCAUCUGAUACUGGCAAGCUUGAGUCUCGUAGAGGGGGGUAGAAUUCCAGGUGUAGCGGUGAAAUCGUAGAGAUCUGGAGGAAUACCGGUGGCGAAGGCGGCCCCCUGACGAAGACU